GGACUUCUGAGUGGGCACCAUGGUCAUGAAGGUGUUUUCCCCGAGGUGAGGCUCAUUGAUCGUGUUCCAGAUGUGCUGACCCCCUGUGAUUUCCCCAAAUGUGAAAGAUUCAAGUGCAUAAUUUCAGGCACCAAAAGUGUUUUGGGUCAGUCCUGCACAUGG
This 162-nucleotide small nuclear RNA is filed under the name Pogona vitticeps (central bearded dragon). RNAcentral's name for it is "U1 spliceosomal RNA (ENSPVIG00000024338.1)". Lineage: Eukaryota; Metazoa; Chordata; Lepidosauria; Squamata; Agamidae. The record is from RNAcentral.